UCAUAUGCUUGUUUCAAAGAUUAAGCCAUGCAUGUCUAAGUACAUACUUUUAGCAAAGUGAAACCGCAAAUGGCUCAUUAAAUCAGUCAUGGUUUACUAGACCGUACUAAUUACUUGGAUAACUGUGGUAAUUCUAGAGCUAAUACAUGCCUCGAGUCUCUGACCCUUAGGGGGAAGAGCGCACUUAUUAGACCAAAACCGAUCGGGGCUUCGGCCUCGUCCUGGUAAUGGUGACUCUGGAUAAUUAUGCAGAUCGCACGGUCCUGGUACCGGCGACGUAUCUUUCAAAUGUCUGCCUUAUCAACUUGAUGGUAGGUUACUUGCCUACCAUGGUUGUAACGGGUGACGGGGAAUCAGGGUUCGAUUCCGGAGAGGGAGCCUG
RNAcentral lists this ribosomal RNA (382 nucleotides) under Narceus americanus. Its description in RNAcentral is "SSU rRNA". It matches the Rfam family "Eukaryotic small subunit ribosomal RNA", at positions 24 to 398 of the family's 1831-position model. Lineage: Eukaryota; Metazoa; Arthropoda; Diplopoda; Spirobolida; Spirobolidae. The record is from RNAcentral.